AUUGAACGCUGGCGGCAGGCUUAACACCUGCAAGUCGAGCGAGCGGCGGACGGGUGAGUAAUGUCUGGGAAACUGCCUGAUGGAGGGGGAUAACUACUGGAAACGGUAGCUAAUACCGCAUACCAUCAGAUGUGCCCAGAUGGGCUUGGCUAGUAGGUGUGGAAAUGGCUCACCUAGGCGACGAUCCCUAGCUGGUCUGAGAGGUUGACCAGAAACACUGGAACUUAGACACGUGCCAUAAUCCUACGGGAGGCAGCAGUGGGGAAUAUUGCACAAUGGGCGCAAGCCGGAUGCAGCUGUGCCGCGUGUGUGAAGAAGGCCGUCGGGUUGUAAAGCACUUGCAGCGAGGAGGCGUUACUCGCAGAAGAAGCACCGGCUAAGUCCGUGCCAGGAGCCGCGGUAAUUC
Molecule: ribosomal RNA, 406 nt
Filed under: uncultured bacterium
Lineage: Bacteria
Description: partial 16S ribosomal RNA
Rfam family: Bacterial small subunit ribosomal RNA
Source: RNAcentral